RNAcentral lists this ribosomal RNA (1339 nucleotides) under Escherichia coli. RNAcentral describes it as "partial 23S ribosomal RNA". It matches the Rfam family "Bacterial large subunit ribosomal RNA", at positions 1451 to 2775 of the family's 2925-position model. The record is from RNAcentral. Lineage: Bacteria; Pseudomonadati; Pseudomonadota; Gammaproteobacteria; Enterobacterales; Enterobacteriaceae.
UUACUGCGAAGGGGGGACGGAGAAGGCUAUGUUGGCCGGGCGACGGUUGUCCCGGUUUAAGCGUGUAGGCUGGUUUUCCAGGCAAAUCCGGAAAAUCAAGGCUGAGGCGUGAUGACGAGGCACUACGGUGCUGAAGCAACAAAUGCCCUGCUUCCAGGAAAAGCCUCUAAGCAUCAGGUAACAUCAAAUCGUACCCCAAACCGACACAGGUGGUCAGGUAGAGAAUACCAAGGCGCUUGAGAGAACUCGGGUGAAGGAACUAGGCAAAAUGGUGCCGUAACUUCGGGAGAAGGCACGCUGAUAUGUAGGUGAAGCGACUUGCUCGUGGAGCUGAAAUCAGUCGAAGAUACCAGCUGGCUGCAACUGUUUAUUAAAAACACAGCACUGUGCAAACACGAAAGUGGACGUAUACGGUGUGACGCCUGCCCGGUGCCGGAAGGUUAAUUGAUGGGGUUAGCGCAAGCGAAGCUCUUGAUCGAAGCCCCGGUAAACGGCGGCCGUAACUAUAACGGUCCUAAGGUAGCGAAAUUCCUUGUCGGGUAAGUUCCGACCUGCACGAAUGGCGUAAUGAUGGCCAGGCUGUCUCCACCCGAGACUCAGUGAAAUUGAACUCGCUGUGAAGAUGCAGUGUACCCGCGGCAAGACGGAAAGACCCCGUGAACCUUUACUAUAGCUUGACACUGAACAUUGAGCCUUGAUGUGUAGGAUAGGUGGGAGGCUUUGAAGUGUGGACGCCAGUCUGCAUGGAGCCGACCUUGAAAUACCACCCUUUAAUGUUUGAUGUUCUAACGUUGACCCGUAAUCCGGGUUGCGGACAGUGUCUGGUGGGUAGUUUGACUGGGGCGGUCUCCUCCUAAAGAGUAACGGAGGAGCACGAAGGUUGGCUAAUCCUGGUCGGACAUCAGGAGGUUAGUGCAAUGGCAUAAGCCAGCUUGACUGCGAGCGUGACGGCGCGAGCAGGUGCGAAAGCAGGUCAUAGUGAUCCGGUGGUUCUGAAUGGAAGGGCCAUCGCUCAACGGAUAAAAGGUACUCCGGGGAUAACAGGCUGAUACCGCCCAAGAGUUCAUAUCGACGGCGGUGUUUGGCACCUCGAUGUCGGCUCAUCACAUCCUGGGGCUGAAGUAGGUCCCAAGGGUAUGGCUGUUCGCCAUUUAAAGUGGUACGCGAGCUGGGUUUAGAACGUCGUGAGACAGUUCGGUCCCUAUCUGCCGUGGGCGCUGGAGAACUGAGGGGGGCUGCUCCUAGUACGAGAGGACCGGAGUGGACGCAUCACUGGUGUUCGGGUUGUCAUGCCAAUGGCACUGCCCGGUAGCUAAAUGCGGAAGAGAUAAGUGCUGAA